Alternaria alternata is the source of this 91-nucleotide transfer RNA. It matches the Rfam family "tRNA". Rfam says of the family: Transfer RNA (tRNA) molecules are approximately 80 nucleotides in length. Their secondary structure includes four short double-helical elements and three loops (D, anti-codon, and T loops). Further hydrogen bonds mediate the characteristic L-shaped molecular structure. tRNAs have two regions of fundamental functional importance: the anti-codon, which is responsible for specific mRNA codon recognition, and the 3' end, to which the tRNAs corresponding amino acid is attached (by aminoacyl-tRNA synthetases). tRNAs cope with the degeneracy of the genetic code in two manners: having more than one tRNA (with a specific anti-codon) for a particular amino acid; and 'wobble' base-pairing, i.e. permitting non-standard base-pairing at the 3rd anti-codon position. The record is from Rfam. Lineage: Eukaryota; Fungi; Ascomycota; Dothideomycetes; Pleosporales; Pleosporaceae.
GUCUCGGUGGCGCAAUGGUAGCGCGUUGGACUUCUACUAACUGUAUCCAUGGUUAAUCCAAAGGCUGCGGGUUCGAGCCCCGCCCGAGAUG